AGGGGGACAACAGUUGGAAACGACUGCUAAUACCGCAUGACGCAUUUUGAUCGCAUGGUCGAAAUGCCAAAGAUUUAUCGCUGAAAGAUGGCCUCGCGUCUGAUUAGCUAGUUGGUGAGGUAACGGCCCACCAAGGCGACGAUCAGUAGCCGGACUGAGAGGUUGACCGGCCACAUUGGGACUGAGAUACGGCCCAGACUCCUACGGGAGGCAGCAGUGGGGAAUAUUGGGCAAUGGGCGCAAGCCUGACCCAGCAACGCCGCGUGAAGGAAGAAGGCUUUCGGGUUGUAAACUUCUUUUAAGUGGGAAGAGCAGAAGACGGUACCACUUGAAUAAGCCACGGCUAACUACGUGCCAGCAGCCGCGGUAAUACGUAGGUGGCAAGCGUUGUCCGGAUUUACUGGGUGUAAAGGGCGUGCAGCCGGGCAUGCAAGUCAGAUGUGAAAUCUCAGGGCUUAACCCUGAAACUGC
Molecule: ribosomal RNA, 471 nt
Filed under: uncultured bacterium
Lineage: Bacteria
Description: bacterial SSU rRNA
Rfam family: Bacterial small subunit ribosomal RNA
Source: RNAcentral